UUGAGUAUUAUUUCUGGCGCU
Molecule: microRNA, 21 nt
Filed under: Cordylochernes scorpioides
Lineage: Eukaryota; Metazoa; Arthropoda; Arachnida; Pseudoscorpiones; Chernetidae
Source: RNAcentral